GAUGAACGCUGGCGGCGUGCCUAAUACAUGCAAGUCGAGCGAACAGACGAGAAGCUUGCUCCUCUGACGUUAGCGGCGGACGGGUGAGUAACACGUGGAUAACCUACCUAUAAGACUGGGAUAACUUCGGGAAACCGGAGCUAAUACCGGAUAAUAUUUUGAACCGCAUGGUUCAAUAGUGAAAGACGGUUUUGCUGUCACUUAUAGAUGGAUCCGCGCUGCAUUAGCUAGUUGGUAAGGUAACGGCUUACCAAGGCAACGAUGCGUAGCCGACCUGAGAGGGUGAUCGGCCACACUGGAACUGAGACACGGUCCAGACUCCUACGGGAGGCAGCAGUAGGGAAUCUUCCGCAAUGGGCGAAAGCUUGACGGAGCAACGCCGCGUGAGUGAUGAAGGUCUUCGGAUCGUAAAACUCUGUUAUUAGGGAAGAACAAAUGUGUAAGUAACUAUACACGUCUUGACGGUACCUAAUCAGAAAGCCACGGCUAACUACGUG
RNAcentral lists this ribosomal RNA (497 nucleotides) under uncultured bacterium. Its description in RNAcentral is "partial 16S ribosomal RNA". It matches the Rfam family "Bacterial small subunit ribosomal RNA", at positions 28 to 507 of the family's 1533-position model. The record is from RNAcentral.